This is a long non-coding RNA of Otolemur garnettii (small-eared galago), 847 nucleotides long. RefSeq lists it as uncharacterized. Lineage: Eukaryota; Metazoa; Chordata; Mammalia; Primates; Galagidae. The transcript has 4 exons. The record is from RefSeq and is a predicted model, not a curated record.
ACCGCUCCGCACAAGGCGACCGUACCGCGCUGCGUCCUGCAGCCACCCCCAGCGGCGGGGGCUUCGGUGCGGGCGCCCCGCGGGCCACCGGACUCUAUUUCUGACGCUCCGGAUGCCUUUCUGCCCCCUGGUUCGAGAACGCGUUGAACGCCCUUUGAUUCUGGCUAUCACGUGCACUGUUCUUUGCAGUAGUAAUUUUAAGGGAAACGGGAAACUGAGGCUCAGAGAUGGAGGACUAGUCUGAGGCCAUGCCAGUGCAGGGUGCUGAACUCAGAGGUCUGGAUCUGGGAUCCCUUAGCCUUUUUCUGCCUUCACCUCAGCACAGUGGCUGAGUUUCAAAGGGCAGUGUCCCAAGAGAGCCAAGCAGACACCAUAUCGCUGUUUUUGACUCAGCCUCAGAAGUCACAUGGCAUCACUUACCCCAGAGCACCAGUCCUUCCCGGAGUCAAAAGGAGGGAACCUCCCUGCUACCUGCAUUUCCAUCAUCCUCUCCUCGCAAGAAGAGCAAGUUUAGUGGGAGACGCUGUUGCUGCAGACCUUGGAAAAUUCAGUUCCCCCAAAGAAGUGGCAUGCAGGAAGCAACUUUAAAAUGAAUGGGCCAGGCCUUCCUCUUUCUUUCUUCUCCUGCUGGCUGGGAUGUGAACAUGAUGGCGGGAGCUACAGCAGUCACAUUGGACCAUGAAGUGAUCUUGGAAAUGGAAACUUCCAUAACAGACCUGGACUCCCUCCCUCCUGUACUGAGUAAACCACUGUAUUGGGACAUAGCAAGAAGACAAUCCACUCUGGACCAGGAAGCCAUCACCAGAUGCCGCAUCUGCUGGCACUUUGAUCUUGGACUUUGCAGCCU